CGUACGGGAGGCAGCAGUGGGGAAUAUUGCACAAUGGGGGAAUGCUGGACGCAGGGAGAAAGCGUGAGGGAUCCAUGCCUUCGGAUUGUAAAAUUUUCAGUAGGGAAGAAUCGAUGGGGAGGGAUGGUAAUGACGGUACUGCANANAGCCCNNANNNU
This 158-nucleotide ribosomal RNA is filed under the name bacterium. RNAcentral describes it as "partial 16S ribosomal RNA". The record is from RNAcentral.